RNAcentral lists this ribosomal RNA (253 nucleotides) under uncultured bacterium. RNAcentral's name for it is "partial 16S ribosomal RNA". It matches the Rfam family "Bacterial small subunit ribosomal RNA", at positions 524 to 776 of the family's 1533-position model. The record is from RNAcentral.
UACGUAGGGGGCGAGCGUUAUCCGGAAUUACUGGGUGUAAAGGGAGCGUAGACGGCGAAGUAAGCCUGAAGUGGAAGCCCGCGGCCCAACCGCGGAACUGCUUUGGGAACUGCUUAGCUGGAGUGCCGGAGAGGUAAGCGGAAUUCCUAGUGUAGCGGUGAAAUGCGUAGAUAUUAGGAGGAACACCAGUGGCGAAGGCGGCUUACUGGACGGCAACUGACGCUGAGGCUCGAAAGCGUGGGGAGCAAACAGG